AAAGAGUAGUAGAUUUAAAAACACUGGAAACCCAGUGUGCAGUAAAACUAAAAAAGAGGGCUACCUAACCUAGUGUGAGAGGUGAGGUAGAGGUUAGGGUGAGAAAGGAUGGUAUAGGAAGGCUUUCUGGAAAAUUUCAAGAUAAAUCUUGAGGAUAAGUCAGAAUUAUACAGGUGAAAAGUAGAAUAGUGCCUGCUACCUUGCAAUUGUUCAGCAAACAUCUGCAAUGAUUACUAACUGUCAGUUUUUGGCUCUGCUUCAAUCCUCACAGUCCAAGCUCACUGCAGUUAAAUCUUCAGUCUCCAGCACUGCACUUGGGAAAGCGUCAAGGAGUUGAAUGUAUAUGUAAUUGGAGUGCCAGAAGAAGAGAACCGAGAGAGAGGGGCAGAACAGCUCAUGAGGGGAAAACCCACUACAUACAAUCAAGAAUACUGCAGACUCCUCAUCGGAAUCUAUGUGGCCACAGAGUGCAUGUGCUAUGAGGGACCCGUCCGACAUAUACCCUCCCAGAAGAGCAGGAAAGGGGGUUCAUAAAGAUGUUCUUCUGAUGGGGAGUGUCCUAUAAGGCCACCUUCACAUGGGAGGAUCGCAGCGCAUUUCGGCCAAGACAGGUGAGACUGCGGUUCUGACCUGCGGGCCUCGAUGAAUUGCGUUAGGACACCUGGGCUCCGGGAGAGCCGUUCCACUCCGCAAAGUAAGCGUGUUAUGUCUACAACCCAACGGGGACGCGCUAAGAGCCCCAAAGGCCCUGCUUUCAUCCCAAAGAACAGCCCCCGCCUGCGUAGUUUGUACCCGGCUCUAUGAGGUGAGAACACAUUCCCCGAUAGCACAGAAAUCCUACAAACUCCUGAGGGGGCUGCGGCUAGAAGCAGACGCUGUGUGAAAUGUGACUGGAGGUUAGGGAAAAACACGUAGAUUUUCACAGACCCUGAGAACCCAAGAGACUGCAGACCAUGGACAGACAAAUCUCUGCAAAAAGCAGCCCCGCGUAGAUAAAGGAAGAGCUGUGCGGCCUUCGCGCUAGCUAGCUUGUGUAAAGGUCGACGCUUCUUAUUUCUCCCGAGGCGGGGAGAAAGCGACAUAUUACUACUAUUCCUCAACCUCCGACUGUGAGAGAAACGAUUAAGAGUAAAGCACAAGCCAGUAAAAAAAACAAGUAACCCUCGCCGUGCAGACUGUUCUUUAAACUACAAAAAUC
This 1198-nucleotide long non-coding RNA is filed under the name Homo sapiens (human). RNAcentral describes it as "HSALNT0295383". The record is from RNAcentral. Lineage: Eukaryota; Metazoa; Chordata; Mammalia; Primates; Hominidae.